ACGGAAGGCAGCAGUAGGGAAUCUUCCACAAUGGGCGAGAGCCUGAUAGAGCAACGCCGCGUGAGUGAAGAAGGUCUUCGGAUCGUAAAGCUCUGUUGUUAGAGAAGAACACUGAUGAGAGUAACUGUUCAUCGGUUGACGGUAUCUAACCAGCAAGUCACGGCUAACUACGUGCCAGCAGCCGCGGUAAUACGUAGGUGGCAAGCGUUAUCCGGAUUUAUUGGGCGUAAAGGGAACGCAGGCGGUUUUUUAAGUCUGAUGUGAAAGCCUUCGGCUUAACCGGAGAAUAGCAUUGGAAACUGGAAGACUUGAGUGCAGAAGAGGAGAGUGGAAUUCCAUGUGUAGCGGUGAAAUGCGUAGAUAUAUGGAGGAACACCAGUGGCGAAAGCGGCUCUCUGGUCUGUAACUGACGCUGAGGUUCGAAAGCGUGGGUAGCAAACAGGAUUAGAUACCCUGGUA
This 459-nucleotide ribosomal RNA is filed under the name uncultured Lactobacillus sp. RNAcentral's name for it is "partial 16S ribosomal RNA". It matches the Rfam family "Bacterial small subunit ribosomal RNA", at positions 341 to 792 of the family's 1533-position model. The record is from RNAcentral. Lineage: Bacteria; Bacillati; Bacillota; Bacilli; Lactobacillales; Lactobacillaceae.